AGAGUUUGAUCAUGGCUCAGAUUGAACGCUGGCGGCAGGCCUAACACAUGCAAGUCGAACGGUAACAGGAAGCAGCUUGCUGCUUCGCUGACGAGUGGCGGACGGGUGAGUAAUGUCUGGGAAGCUGCCUGAUGGAGGGGGAUAACUACUGGAAACGGUAGCUAAUACCGCAUAAUGUCGCAAGACCAAAGAGGGGGACCUUCGGGCCUCUUGCCAUCGGAUGUGCCCAGAUGGGAUUAGCUUGUUGGUGGGGUAACGGCUCACCAAGGCGACGAUCCCUAGCUGGUCUGAGAGGAUGACCAGCCACACUGGAACUGAGACACGGUCCAGACUCCUACGGGAGGCAGCAGUGGGGAAUAUUGCACAAUGGGCGCAAGCCUGAUGCAGCCAUGCCGCGUGUAUGAAGAAGGCCUUCGGGUUGUAAAGUACUUUCAGCGGGGAGGAAGGGAGUAAAGUUAAUACCUUUGCUCAUUGACGUUACCCGCAGAAGAAGCACCGGCUAACUCCGUGCCAGCAGCCGCGGUAAUACGGAGGGUGCAAGCGUUAAUCGGAAUUACUGGGCGUAAAGCGCACGCAGGCGGUUUGUUAAGUCAGAUGUGAAAUCCCCGGGCUCAACCUGGGAACUGCAUCUGAUACUGGCAAGCUUGAGUCUCGUAGAGGGGGGUAGAAUUCCAGGUGUAGCGGUGAAAUGCGUAGAGAUCUGGAGGAAUACCGGUGGCGAAGGCGGCCCCCUGGACGAAGACUGACGCUCAGGUGCGAAAGCGUGGGGAGCAAACAGGAUUAGAUACCCUGGUAGUCCACGCCGUAAACGAUGUCGACUUGGAGGUUGUGCCCUUGAGGCGUGGCUUCCGGAGCUAACGCGUUAAGUCGACCGCCUGGGGAGUACGGCCGCAAGGUUAAAACUCAAAUGAAUUGACGGGGGCCCGCACAAGCGGUGGAGCAUGUGGUUUAAUUCGAUGCAACGCGAAGAACCUUACCUGGUCUUGACAUCCACGGAAGUUUUCAGAGAUGAGAAUGUGCCUUCGGGAACCGUGAGACAGGUGCUGCAUGGCUGUCGUCAGCUCGUGUUGUGAAAUGUUGGGUUAAGUCCCGCAACGAGCGCAACCCUUAUCCUUUGUUGCCAGCGGUCCGGCCGGGAACUCAAAGGAGACUGCCAGUGAUAAACUGGAGGAAGGUGGGGAUGACGUCAAGUCAUCAUGGCCCUUACGACCAGGGCUACACACGUGCUACAAUGGCGCAUACAAAGAGAAGCGACCUCGCGAGAGCAAGCGGACCUCAUAAAGUGCGUCGUAGUCCGGAUUGGAGUCUGCAACUCGACUCCAUGAAGUCGGAAUCGCUAGUAAUCGUGGAUCAGAAUGCCACGGUGAAUACGUUCCCGGGCCUUGUACACACCGCCCGUCACACCAUGGGAGUGGGUUGCAAAAGAAGUAGGUAGCUUAACCUUCGGGAGGGCGCUUACCACUUUGUGAUUCAUGACUGGGGUGGAGUCGUAACAAGGUA
This 1500-nucleotide ribosomal RNA is filed under the name metagenome. Its description in RNAcentral is "bacterial SSU rRNA". It matches the Rfam family "Bacterial small subunit ribosomal RNA". The record is from RNAcentral.